This 425-nucleotide ribosomal RNA is filed under the name bacterium HGBA2. RNAcentral's name for it is "bacterial SSU rRNA". It matches the Rfam family "Bacterial small subunit ribosomal RNA", at positions 261 to 704 of the family's 1533-position model. The record is from RNAcentral.
CGUCUUACCGAAGCAACUAUCCGAAGCCAACCUGAGAGGGCGAUCGGCCACGUUGAACCUGAGACACGGUCCAAACUCAUACGCCAGGCUCCUACGGGAAGUAUUGCACAAUGGUCUAGAACCUGAUGCCGAAACUCCGCGCGAGCGAUGAUGGGCUUCCGAUCAAAAAGCUCUGACCGCAAGGAGCAUACUGACGGUACUUGAUGAGGAACCCCCCCCUAACUACAUGCCACCACUCGCUACAAUACAUAAGGCGCUAGCGUUCUCCUGAAUUACUGGGCAUACAGAGUGCUUAGGCGGUCUUUCCAGCCAGAAGUGAAAGGCUACCGCUCGACCGUAUGAAGCUUUUGGAUCUGUAUUACUUGAGAGCCUGAGAGGAUAGAGGACUUCCUAGUGUAGCGGAGAUAUGCGUAUAUAUUAGGAGG